CAAUCUUUGUUUGUUUCAGCAUCCUUAUCCUUCGGAGGACCAGAAAAAGCAACUAGCUCAGGAUACGGGGCUUACGAUACUACAAGUUAAUAAUUGGUUUAUCAACGCCAGGCGGAGAAUAGUACAGCCAAUGAUCGAUCAGUCAAAUCGAGCAGUAUUUUCUCCGCAUGCAGGUCCUAGUGGAGCUUACAGCCCUGAUGGCACGAUGGGUUAUAUGAUGGGCGACCAACAAAUGAUGCAUCGGCCGCCAGGAGAUCCAGCUUUCCACAAUCAGUACGCUCAUUAUCCCGCCGAAUACUACGGACAUCAUCUGUGAGGUGAGUCACGUUUUUGUGUUCAGUUUCAUCACUAUCGGGUACACGAACGGACACGAACACAUUGGUUCACAGAAGAAAUACCUUGGCAUCUUAUGCUAAGACAAUAAUACAAAUUAGGAAAAUCAUUUCAAAAUUUCAGUAGCGAAUACAAAAUUAAUACAGGAAAUUCAUAAAAAUGUUUGUAAAUUAUCUCCUCGGUGAAAACUGGAUGAGUUUUUUUCGCAUUGCUAAAUAUAUGUUAGUUAACUAAUGAUAGGGAACGUUAAAUUAUUUGUCAUCUGAGCUGAUGCAUUAUGUUUAGUAUGUAAACUUCAUGUGACCAAUAAAAAUACCAAUUUA
Dendroctonus ponderosae (mountain pine beetle) is the source of this 656-nucleotide long non-coding RNA. RefSeq lists it as uncharacterized. Lineage: Eukaryota; Metazoa; Arthropoda; Insecta; Coleoptera; Curculionidae. The transcript has 3 exons. The record is from RefSeq and is a predicted model, not a curated record.